GAUGAACGCUGGCGGCGUGCCUAAUACAUGCAAGUCGAGCGAACAGACGAGGAGCUUGCUCCUCUGACGUUAGCGGCGGACGGGUGAGUAACACGUGGAUAACCUACCUAUAUGACUGGGAUAAUUUCGGGAAACCGGAGCUACUACCGGCUAAUAUAUUGAACCGCAUGGUUCAAUAGUGAAAGACGGUUUUGCUGUCACUUAUAGAUGGAUCCGUGUCGGAUUAGCUAGUUGGUAAGGUAACGGCUUACCAAGGCAACGAUGCGUAGCCGACCUGAGAGGAUGAUCAGCCACACUGGAACUGAGACACGGUCCAGACUCCUACGGGAGGCAGCAGUAGGGAAUCUUCCGCAAUGGGCGAAAGCUUGACGGAGCAACGCCGCGUGAGUGAUGAAGGUCUUCGGAUCGUAAAACUCUGUUAUUAGGGAAGAACAAAUGUGUAAGUAACUAUGCACGUCUUGACGGUACCUAAUCAGAAAGCCACGGCUAACUUCGUG
This 497-nucleotide ribosomal RNA is filed under the name uncultured bacterium. RNAcentral describes it as "partial 16S ribosomal RNA". It matches the Rfam family "Bacterial small subunit ribosomal RNA", at positions 28 to 507 of the family's 1533-position model. The record is from RNAcentral.